Long non-coding RNA from Hirundo rustica (Barn swallow), 494 nucleotides. RefSeq lists it as uncharacterized. The transcript is spliced from 3 exons. The record is from RefSeq and is a predicted model, not a curated record. NCBI's taxonomy places the organism in Eukaryota, Metazoa, Chordata, Aves, Passeriformes, Hirundinidae.
GACUGCUGCUGCUGGGCAGCUCCUGGGGACACCUCCCACAGGCAGUUCCUUGGUGAGGCUGUGACUGAAGUACUGGGCAACCUCCUCAUGCUAGGAGUGCCUCUUCAGGUGUUGGGGUUUCUUAAUACCUUUCUGCUGGAAGCUGCAUUUCUGUGAGAGGUAUUUGAGCAGACACCAAGGACGGUAUUUUCAAAGGCCUUGUAAUCACUGAAGGCUGGUUCUUUGCUGAUAUUCUGUGGCUUGUCCUAUGAAUAUGAGGCACUGAGUUUAAGAUGUAUAUGGAUUUGUGUGUAAAGGCAGUUAAAGAUGGAAAAGGCUGUUUCGAGGCCACCUGCAAUAUCUCAAAGCUUCCUGCAUGGAGUGUCUGACCUACAGAGACAUUUUGGAAAAGAGAAUUAACAUUUUUGUGCAGCUGCUGACCAGCCAGUUAGUCAGAACUAAAGCUGGAAUGCUGUGAGGGGAGCUGCAGCCACCAGUGGUGCUUUCUGCAGAUG